Molecule: RNA transcript, 5733 nt
Organism: Triticum aestivum (bread wheat)
Lineage: Eukaryota; Viridiplantae; Streptophyta; Magnoliopsida; Poales; Poaceae
Exons: 8
Source: RefSeq, a predicted model, not a curated record
AGAUCGAACGGCCCACAUUACCCAGAUUUGCCACCCACCUAAUCCCGCCAAAGCCUGAACUCAGUCGCCUCUUCUGGAAGACUCCACAACCCACGCUCGCCUCCAGCAAAUCUAUUCCCGCCAAGGCUCCAGCAAUUCGAUUCCCCGCCAAGGCGCAGCCUCGCUCACUUCACCACCAUAUCCAUAUGCUCUGUGUGAAAUUUCUCUAGCGUGUACAUCUCACACCACGAUCUCCGCCAGUUCAUAACCGCCGGCCACGCCCCCAGCUCCUUCCAAUCACCUCAGCGUACAGAUUGCAACUUCACCAUCGUCUCCUUGCAAGCUCUGACUUGGUUCGAUUUUUUUUGCCGCCUGGUGAGUCCAGGUUCAUGAGAGCUGGACAUCCUCCUACAACCAGCUGACCAUAGUGCCACCGACGGACCACAAGUUGUGGCUGAAAACACCUGGCUUCUAACAAUCAAGAAUCGAAGUCAUAACCGCUAGCUGUCCAGUAAAACCCAAGAGAUGGAAGGCCGAAUUCCUUUCAGAGAUAUUACAAAUGUUCACUCGAUGACUUCACCAAAAGGGAACCAACUAGCUGCGGUUGCAGAGCAGAAUGAUCCUUUAGCAGAAACCAAUAAGGCUAUCCAAAUGAAUUCUUCCCAGCGUAAGCGUUACCGCGACCGGGAUAGGUAUUUGCAAAUGACUCCAUAUCAGAGGGAAGCCUAUCUGCAAAGGAAUCGAGAGGAAGUCGUGGGCAGUUCAAACUAUGAGAGGCACGAUUCAGUAUUUACUCAACUAGGGUCUUCAUCAAAAGGCAAACAAGAUAGUGGUGGUUCUGAGACAAGCCGUCCAAAAGCUGGAACUUGGUUCACUAUCAGUCCAUCUGGCAUAUAUUUAUCCUCGAUAUCCUCGCAAGAACAAGCUACAAAGUAUGAAUUGAAAAAUGUGGGUCAGCGUAAGCGACAACAUUGCACCAAUGUGUACUCACAACUAUCACAUGAUCAAGAAGAAACACAUGUACAAGAGAUUUGUGGCCCUAAUAAAAGAAAGAGGUCAGAAAAAGGAAGUUGUAGUACUGCACGGGAUCCUGGUAGAAAUACCAACAACUUGCAUGAAGACAUCAUUUAUGUGCCCCAGGAUUAUUUUCCUGUCAUUCAUGAUUAUCUGGCAAAUACCGAAGACAACAUUGAGUGCGAUGAGGUGGAUGAUGAAAGUCUUAUGUAUAAUGGGCCAGGUCUUGACUUUGAAUCAUAUCAAGAACCAAAGCUUGUUACAAGGUGUAUACAAGCAGAUCCAUAUGAUCGUAUAUAUCAUAAUGUGCCCAGUGGUCAUCAUUUUCUAGAGCGAGUGCCCAACUGUAGACAUUGUAAUGCGAAAAGGUUCCCAUAUGAGACACCAACUUUUUGUUGCAUGAAUGGAAAGGUGAAGAUAGUAACCCCAGUGGUUCCUGAAGAAUUGCGUCAGUUGUACACGAGUCAGGAUCCAAAUGCAAAAUACUUCCAAGAUCAUAUACGGUACUUCAAUUCUCAUUUCUCUUUUACCUCUCUUGGUGUCAUCUUGGACCAAAGGUUCUGCAAUAGGAGGUCUAGAGUUUACACCUUUCGUGCACAGGGCCAAAUUUAUCACCGUAUUGACCAGUUGGUUCCAAAAGAAGAUGGCCCCAAGCAUUUACAGUUAUACUUCUAUGACACGGAUGCAGAUUUGCAACAAAGAUUUCUUCACUCGCCUAACUUAAACCAAAUUCUCAUCCGUAAGUUGGUAAAUAUACUUUCAAGUAACCCUUAUGUACAAAUAUUUAGAAACCUUGGUUCUAUUCCAAACCUUGAUGAAUAUAUGAUUGAGCUCAACACAGAUAUUGCCUUAGAUCAGAGAGUAUAUAAUGCUCCAACAACAUCACAAGUAGCAGCAAUCUGGGUUGAGGGAAAUAAUCCUCGAGGUCAUUUUGACAGGAGUAUCAUGGUGUAUGGUAAAUCGGACAAACCACAGUACAUAAAAGGAUACCAUGGUUGCUAUGACCCAUUGUCAUAUCCGCUUAUUUUCCCGAAAGGGAAGUUGGAUGGAACUUGAAUUUACCAAAAGUUGGUCCCCAUGCUAGGAGGAAGAGAGAUGAUCAAGCAAAUGCUCUCAACGAAGAAGGGAUGGAAAAGAGCCCUGGUUCUUGUGUGUCACCAAGAGAAUAUUAUUGUUAUAAGUUACAAAUUCGAGAUGGUGAUUUCAACGUCUUACUAUUCGGAAGGCGAUUAACUCAACAGUAUAUUGUUGAUAUGUACAUCAAGAUUGAGUCAAUAAGGCUGGCUUUCUAUUUACAACCGUCAACUCAAGUUCUCAUACGUGCAGAUUUAUAUCAAGGAUUGGUUGAUAGCGUUGUAGCUGGUGAGACACGUGCAUGCAUGACAGGAAAGCGUAUUGUGCUCCCCCCAAAAUUUAUUGGAGGACCAAGAGACAUGCGUCGAAGGUAUCUAGAUGCAAUGGCAUUGGUCCAGCGAUUUGGGAAGCCAGACUUAUUCAUUACAAUGACAUGCAACCCGCAGUGGGAAGAGAUAACUAGAGAGUUGGAACCAGGCCAAUCACCACAAGAUCGUCCAGAUUUGGUAGCACGAGUCUUCAAGGCAAAGUUGGAGGAUCUUAAAGAUCUUUUAUUCAAGAGAAAAUUAUUUGGUGAAGUCGCUGCACAUGUUCAUGUAAUAGAAUUUCAGAAGAGAGGCCUACCGCAUGCACACUUCUUAAUUAUUCUGAAGUCAAAUUGCAAGAUUACUAAUCCAGAUCAAUACGAUGAGAUAAUAUCAGCAGAGAUCCCAGAUAAAGACAAAUACCCUGUACUGCAUGCUUUAGUUAUUAAGCACAUGAUGCACGGACCAUGUGGAGUUCUCAACAGUAAGAAUGCUUGCAUGGAAAAUGGAAAUUGUAGAUACCAUUAUCCGCGGACAUUCUCAGAUACAACAUUACAAGGAAAGGACUCAUAUCCAAUUUAUAGACGGAGGGAUGAUGGUCGUCGAGUGCGCAUUAGGGGUGCGGUCUUGGAUAAUAGAUGGGUUGUUCCUUACAACCCAUAUCUACUUAUGCGAUACAAUUGCCAUAUCAAUAUAGAAGUUUGCUCUAGCAUUAAGGCUGUUAAAUAUUUAUUUAAGUACAUAUACAAAGGUCAUGAUCGCGCCUCCUUUGUCAUUGAGUCCAGAGGAGAUAAUGUUGUUAUAGAUGAGAUUCGUGAAUAUAGGGAUGCAAGGUUUAUAUCACCUCCAGAGGCAAUAUGGAGGAUUUAUUCUUUCAAUCUAAGUGAGAUGUCACCUCCAGUUUUGCAGUUGCAGGUCCAUUUGCCAAAUAUGCAUCUUGUGCAUUAUGAAGACUCCGAUAAUUUGGAUAAUGUUUUACGCAGAGAAUCAUCUUCAAAAACAAUGCUUAGUGAAUAUUUUAGAAUGAAUUCUGUUGACAUUUACGCGAGAAAUUUCUUGUAUAAGGAGUUUCCAGAAUAUUUUGUGUGGGACAGCAGUUGCAAAAGUUGGAGACGUCGCAAACAGAAACGAAUUCAGAUUGGGAGACUUGUGUCUGCGCACCCUGCUGAAGGAGAGCGUUAUUACUUGAGGAUCCUACUAAACCACGUGAGGGGAGCCAAAUCAUUUGAGGAUCUACGAACUAUUGAAGGUACUAUUUUCUCGACUUUUAGAGAGGCUGCACAGAGAAGGGGUCUCAUUGAAGAUGAUCGUAGUAUUUCAGAUUGUCUCAGCGAGGCUGCGACAUUUCAAAUGCCCUCUGCACUUAGAAGACUUUUUGCAACAAUUUUAGUUUUCUGUGAGGUAACAAAUGUCCGUGAACUGUGGGACAAGCAUUUAGAAGCCAUGUGUGAUGAUUUUCGAAGAGAAAAUGUAAAUGUUGAAGUAGCUGAGCGAAUGGUGCUUAAAGAUCUUAGAAGUUUGUUAUAUUCAAUGGGGAAGGACAUAAAUAACUUUGGCUUGCCAUGCUUACUAGAUAACAAUGAUUUAGAGAGCUUAAGUUGGAGAGAAGUGUGUGAUGAGAUGUCUAUUGAGGUUGAGCAGGAACACUUAGAUUUGUAUGACAAACUAAAUAGUGAGCAGCGACUUGCUUUUGAUGAGAUAAUGACUCAUGUCUUGCACCAGAAGAGUAUGGUUUUUUUCAUAGAUGGUCCGGGAGGUACAGGGAAAACAUACCUUUAUAAGGCUUUGCUCGCAAAGGUGCGGUCAAUGGGACUAAUAGCUAUCGUAACAGCAACCUCUGGAAUUGCUGCAUCUAUCAUGUCUGGCGGUAGAACAGCUCAUUCCAGAUUCAAAAUUCCAAUUAAUAUUCAGGAUGACAGCAUGUGCAACUUCAGUAAACAAAGUGGAACUGCAGAAUUACUUCGGAGGUCGUCUUUAAUAAUUUGGGACGAAGUUGCUAUGACAAAGCGUCAAGCUGUGGAGGCACUUGAUAGAUCUCUGCAAGAUAUCACCAGUUGUGGAUCACCAUUUGGAGGGAAAGUAGUAGUGUUUGGAGGUGAUUUUAGACAGGUUCUUCCGGUGGUGAGGCAUGGCACUAGAGCACAAAUUACAGAUGCUACACUAAAAAAGUCUUAUCUUUGGCCAGACAUAAGACAUAUCAAACUAUGGCGCAAUAUGAGGGCAUUGUUUGAUCCAUGGUUCUCUGAUUUUCUCCUUAGAAUUGGUAAUGGUACAGAGGAAUCAAUUGGUCAAGAUUAUGUGCGCCUGCCUGAAGAAAUUGUUAUAGGUUACACAGAUGUAAAGGCCUCUGUUGGUAAGUUAAUUGAUGAAAUCUUCCCUUUAAUGGACAAAAAUGGAAACUCGCCAUCUUAUAUUAGUGCACGUGCCAUUCUUUCCACAAAGAAUGAAUAUGUGGAUGAGUUAAAUGAAAUGCUUAUUGAUCGAUUUCCUGGAGAAGAAAAGGUCUAUUACAGUUUUGACUCGGUGGUUGAUGAUCCACAUAAUCACUAUCAACCUGAGUUCCUAAAUUCACUCACACCUAAUGGCCUACCUCCGCAUAUUCUCAGAUUGAAGAUCAACUGCCCUGUUAUUUUGAUUCGCAAUCUUGAUCCUUCUAAUGGUUUAUGCAACGGUACAAGGCUUAUUAUUAAGGCAUUUCAAGAUAAUGCUAUUGAUGCAGAAAUUAUUGGCGGACAAUAUGCUGGGAAGCGAGUGUUCCUUCCACGAAUUCCUCUCUAUCCUUCAGAGGAUGAUGCUCUCCCCUUCAAGUUUAAAAGAAAACAAUUUCCAAUUCGGCUUAGUUUUGCCAUGACAAUCAACAAAGCCCAGGGUCAAACCAUCCCAAAUGUUGGCAUAUAUCUUCCUGAGCCGGUGUUUUCUCAUGGCCAACUCUAUGUUGCUUUGUCUAGAGGGACAUCAAGACAAACAACUAGAAUACUUGCAAGGCCAAAUAAGGAUAUUGACCCAUCAGGGAAAAGCACAAAAAAUAUUGUCUACAGGGAUGUUUUGGUAUAAUCCAUGAACAUGCUCUGUACUGCAGUGAUGUUUCUAAUAUGGUUGUAUUCAUGUAAAUAGUACCCAGGAAAGAUAAUGUUAGAUAGGGUUUCAGUCAUUAUCUUGUCCGUGUGAAAAUUGUAGACCAAAAGAUAUGUUUACAGGGGUAAUAUUCUAGCAUGUACAGUACUUAAAUCUACAGAUUUACCGUUCUUCUCUCAGUUAUAGCAUAUAACAGAAAUCGAGAAACAUAAGUUAGCACAUAUCAUUUUUUGUGAUAGCCAUUGGGCUUCACAAGUAUAUGCAAUAAACGCACAUUUUUCAGUUU